RNAcentral lists this ribosomal RNA (500 nucleotides) under uncultured bacterium. RNAcentral describes it as "partial 16S ribosomal RNA". It matches the Rfam family "Bacterial small subunit ribosomal RNA", at positions 30 to 523 of the family's 1533-position model. The record is from RNAcentral.
AUUGAACGCUGGCGGCAUGCCUUACACAUGCAAGUCGAACGGCAGCACGGGAGCAAUCCUGGUGGCGAGUGGCGAACGGGUGAGUAAAGUAUCGGAACGUGCCCAGUCGUGGGGGAUAACGUAGCGAAAGUUACGCUAAUACCGCAUACGAUCUAUGGAUGAAAGCGGGGGAUCGCAAGACCUCGCGCGAUUGGAGCGGCCGAUAUCAGAUUAGGUAGUUGGUGGGGUAAAGGCUCACCAAGCCGACGAUCUGUAGCUGGUCUGAGAGGACGACCAGCCACACUGGGACUGAGACACGGCCCAGACUCCUACGGGAGGCAGCAGGGUGGAAUUGUGGACAAUGGGCGAAAGCCUGAUCCAGCCAUGCCGCGUGCAGGAUGAAGGCCUUCGGGUUGUAAACUGCUUUUGUACGGAACGAAAAGGUUUGGCCUAAUAAGCUGAGCUCAUGACGGUACCGUAAGAAUAAGCACCGGCUAACUACGUGCCAGCCGCCGCCGUAA